AAAAAAACACUCACACAAUACAUGAAAGGAAAGAUGAAAUAUAGAACAAAGUAUGGACAUUCCUUUUAAAUCUUCUUGGCUCCCUCCCUUGAGUGCUGCUUUCUCACAAACUUUUUCUUUCGAUUUGUCGGUUUGAAUGUGAUAUGAUGGGAGUUUUGUAGAGAAACCUGUGGAUUGAGGUCCACCAUUUGAUG
This 194-nucleotide non-coding RNA is filed under the name Protocruzia adhaerens. Lineage: Eukaryota; Ciliophora; Spirotrichea. The record is from RNAcentral.